RNAcentral lists this ribosomal RNA (484 nucleotides) under uncultured bacterium. RNAcentral's name for it is "partial 16S ribosomal RNA". It matches the Rfam family "Bacterial small subunit ribosomal RNA", at positions 30 to 507 of the family's 1533-position model. The record is from RNAcentral.
AUUGAACGCUAGCGGGAUGCUUUACACAUGCAAGUCGAACGGCAGCGCGGACUUCGGUCUGGCGGCGAGUGGCGAACGGGUGAGUAAUGUAUCGGAACGUGCCCAGUAGCGGGGGAUAACUACGCGAAAGCGUAGCUAAUACCGCAUACGCCCUACGGGGGAAAGCAGGGGAUCGUAAGACCUUGCACUAUUGGAGCGGCCGAUAUCGGAUUAGCUAGUUGGUGAGGUAACGGCUUACCAAGGCGACGAUCCGUAGCUGGUUUGAGAGGACGACCAGCCACACUGGGACUGAGACACGGCCCAGACACCUACGGGAGGCAGCAGUGGGGAAUUUUGGACAAUGGGGGCAACCCUGAUCCAGCCAUCCCGCGUGUGCGAUGAAGGCCUUCGGGUUGUAAAGCACUUUUGGCAGGAAAGAAACGUCGCGGGCUAAUACCCCGUGGAACUGACGGUACCUGCAGAAUAAGCACCGGCUAACUACGUG